This 75-nucleotide transfer RNA is filed under the name Hypnea cervicornis. RNAcentral's name for it is "tRNA-His". It matches the Rfam family "tRNA". From Rfam's summary of the family: Transfer RNA (tRNA) molecules are approximately 80 nucleotides in length. The record is from RNAcentral. Lineage: Eukaryota; Rhodophyta; Florideophyceae; Gigartinales; Hypneaceae.
GCGGGGAGAGCUCGGUUAGGUAUGAGCAACAGUUUGUGAACCUGAGGGUCGUGGGUUCGAAUCCCAUUCUUCGCC